RNAcentral lists this ribosomal RNA (254 nucleotides) under uncultured bacterium. Its description in RNAcentral is "partial 16S ribosomal RNA". It matches the Rfam family "Bacterial small subunit ribosomal RNA", at positions 524 to 776 of the family's 1533-position model. The record is from RNAcentral.
UACGGGGGGAGCAAGCGUUGUUCGGAUUUACUGGGCGUAAAGGGCGCGUAGGCGGCCAGCACAAGUCAGUUGUGAAAUCUCCGAGCUUAACUCGGAAAGGUCAACUGAUACUGUGCGGCUAGAGUGCGGAAGGGGCAACUGGAAUUCUUGGUGUAGCGGUGAAAUGCGUAGAUAUCAAGAGGAACACCUGCAGCGAAGGCGGGUUGCUGGGCCGACACUGACGCUGAUGCGCGAAAGCUAGGGGAGCGAACGGG